This 305-nucleotide ribosomal RNA is filed under the name uncultured bacterium. RNAcentral describes it as "bacterial SSU rRNA". It matches the Rfam family "Bacterial small subunit ribosomal RNA", at positions 337 to 658 of the family's 1533-position model. The record is from RNAcentral.
UCCUACGGGGGGCAGCAGUGGGGAAUAUUGCACAAUGGGGGAAACCCUGAUGCAGCGACGCCGCGUGAGUGAAGAAGUAUCUCGGUAUGUAAAGCUCUAUCAGCAGGAAAGAUAAUGACGGUACCUGACUAAGAAGCCCCGGCUAACUACGUGCCAGCAGCCGCGGUAAUACGUAGGGGGCAAGCGUUAUCCGGAUUUACUGGGUGUAAAGGGGGCGCAGACGGCCAUGGCAAGCCCGGUGUGAAAGGUGCGGGCACAACCCGCAGACUGCACUGGUAACUGCCUGGCUGGAGUGCCAGAGGGGU